GACGAACGCUGGCGGCGUGCUUAACACAUGCAAGUCGAACGCUGAAGCUCAGCUUGCUGGGUGGAUGAGUGGCGAACGGGUGAGUAACACGUGAGUAACCUGCCCUCUUCUUGGGAUAACGGCCCGGAACGGGUGCUAAUUCCGGAUAUUUCCUGGUUUCCGGCUUGGGGGUUGUUGGAAGGUUUUUUUUUGGUGGGGGAUGGGCUCGCGGCCUAUCAGUUUGUGGGUGGGGUGAUGGCCUACCAAGGCUUUGACGGGUAGCCGGCCUGAGAGGGUGACCGGUCACAUUGGGACUGAGAUACGGCCCAGACUCCUACGGGAGGCAGCAGUGGGGAAUAUUGCACAAUGGGCGAAAGCCUGAUGCAGCGACGCCGCGUGAGGGAUGGAGGCCUUCGGGUUGUAAACCUCUUUCGCUCAUGGUCAAGCCGCAGCUUUGGGUUGUGGUGAGGGUAGUGGGUAAAGAAGCGCCGGCUAACUACGUG
RNAcentral lists this ribosomal RNA (482 nucleotides) under uncultured bacterium. RNAcentral describes it as "partial 16S ribosomal RNA". It matches the Rfam family "Bacterial small subunit ribosomal RNA", at positions 28 to 507 of the family's 1533-position model. The record is from RNAcentral.